AGGGCGCAGGGCGAAUGCCUUGGCACUGGGAGCCGAUGAAAGACGUGAUAAGCUGCGAUAAGCUUCGGGGAGCUGCAAAUAAGCAUUGAUCCGGAGAUUUCUGAAUGAGGAAACUCACCUGGGUUCAUACUCAGGUACGUUAUACUGAACUUAAAAAUAGGUAUAUCGAGGGAACCGCCUGAACUGAAACAUCUAAGUAGGGCGAGGAAGAGACAUCAAACGAGAUUCCGUAAGUAGUGGCGAGCGAACGCGGAAGAGGGCAAACCGGAAGUAGAAAUACUUCCGGGGUACGGACCGCAUUUAGGACUUAAGUUGUUAACCGAACGGCAUGGGAAGGCCGGUCAGAGAGUGUGAGAACCACGUAGGUGAAAACGACAAGAGCUGAGCGAGUUCCAGAGUACGGCCAGACACGUGAAACCUGGUCGGAAUACGGGGGGACCACCCUCCAACCCUAAAUACUACCCAGUGACCGAUAGCGUAUAGUACUGUGAAGGAAAGGUGAAAAGCACCCCGGGAGGGGAGUGAAAAAGAACCUGAAACCCUGUGCCUACAAGCACCUAGAGCACGUCAAUGUGUGAUAGGGUACUUUUUGUAGAACGGUCCGGCGAGCGAUUGUAUGCAGCAAGGUUAAGGACUUAAGGUCUGGAGCCGAAGCGAAAGCGAGUUUGAAAAGGGCGUUAAGUUGCAUACAAUGGGCCCGAAACCGGGUGACCUACCCAUGGUCAGGUUGAAGUGGAAGUAAAAUUCCAUGGAGGACCGAACCGACCUCCGUUGAAAAGGCGGCGGAUGAACUGUGGGUAGCGGAGAAAUUCCAAUCGAACCCGGAGAUAGCUGGUUCUCCCCGAAAUAGUUUUAGGACUAGCCUCAAGUUAGAUACCUGGAGGUAAAGCACUGAAUAGCCUAGCGGCCGAGAGGUUAGCGAAGCUUAUCAAACUCAGAAUGCCAGAGUAUUGAUGCUUGGGAGUCAGACAGUGUCAGAUAAAUGUCAUUGUCAAAAGGGAAACAGCCCAGAUCUACAGCUAAGGUCCCAAAGUCAGGUUAAGUGGAAAACGAUGUGAAGAUACGCAGACAACCAGGAUGUUGGCUCAGAAGCAGCCACUCAUUCAAAGAGUGCGUAAUAGCUCACUGGUCGAGCGUCUUUGCGCGGAGAAUUUAACGGGGCUAAACCUGACACCGAAGCUUAGGCAAUGUAGUAAUACAUUGGGUAGGGGAGCGUUGUAUACGCGGUGAAACAGUAGCGCAAGCGGCUGUGGAGUGUAUAGAAGUGAGAAUGCCGGAAUGAGUAGCGCGAAUGCAGUGAGAAUCUGCAUGGCCGAAAGCCUCAGGUUUCUGGAGGAAGGUUCGUCCGCUCCAGGUUAGUCGGGAGCUAAGGUGAGGCCUAACGGCGUAGCCGAUGCACAGACGGUAGAGAUUCCGUCACCACCAAAAGAGUUAAGCACAGGGACACAUUUGAAGUCUCGGAGCCGGGUGUUGGUUCCGGUAGCGAUCGAGGGAAGUUAGUACCGAAGUCCGGGAUGGAAGAUGGCGAGAAAAGCUGUGUGUAUUUCUGCGGUGCCCGUACCGCAAACCGACACAGGUAGGUAGGAAGAAGAUUCUAAGGCCAACGGGAGAAGGGUUGUUAAGGAACUCGGCAAAUUGACCCCGUAACUUCGGGAGAAGGGGUGCUCCAGAGAUGGAGCCGCAGAGAAUCGGCCCAAGCAACUGUUUACCAAAAACACAGGUUUGUGCUAAAUCGAAAGAUGACGUAUACGAGCUGACGCCUGCCCGGUGCUGGAAGGUUAAGAGGAGAUGUGCAAGCAUUGAAUCGAAGCCCCAGUGAACGGCGGCCGUAACUAUAACGGUCCUAAGGUAGCGAAAUUCCUUGUCAGGUAAGUUCUGACCCGCAUGAAAGGCGUAAUGAUUUGGGCACUGUCUCGACAGCCCGCCCGGCGAAAUUGUAGUACCGGUGAAGAUGCCGGUUACCCGCGACAAGACGGAAAGACCCCAUGGAGCUUUACUGUAGCCUAAUAUUGGGUUUCGAUGUUGCAUGCACAGGAUAGAUGGGACACAGGGAAACAAGUGCUUUGGCAUUUGUGGAGUGGCCGUUGGGAUACCAUCCUUGCGAUAUUGGAAUUCUAACCUGCGCCUUUGAAUCAAGGCGGGGGACAUUGUUAGGUGGGCAGUUUGACUGGGGCGGUCGCCUCCUAAAGAGUAACGGAGGCGUUCAAAGGUUCGCUCAGCUUGAACGGAAAUCAAGCAAAAGAGUGCAAACGCAGAAGCGAGCCUAACUGCGAGACUGACGGGUCGAGCAGUAACGAAAGUUGGAGUUAGUGAUCCGGUGGUAUGUGAGUGGAAAUGCCAUCGCUCAACGGAUAAAAGUUACCCUGGGGAUAACAGGCUGAUCUCCCCCAAGAGUCCACAUCGACGGGGAGGUUUGGCACCUCGAUGUCGGCUCAUCGCAUCCUGGGGCUGUAUUCGGUCCCAAGGGUUUGGCUGUUCGCCAAUUAAAGCGGUACGCGAGCUGGGUUCAGAACGUCGUGAGACAGUUCGGUCCCUAUCUGUCGUGGGCGCAGGAUAUUUGAUGGGAGCUGUUCCUAGUACGAGAGGACCGGAGCGGACGUACCUCUGGCGCACCAGUUGUUCUGCCAAGGGCAUAGCUGGGCAACUAUGUACGGAUCGGAUAAACGCUGAAAGCAUCUAAGCGUGAAGCCGACCCAAAGAUAAGAUAUCCCAUUGU
This 2716-nucleotide ribosomal RNA is filed under the name human gut metagenome. Its description in RNAcentral is "bacterial LSU rRNA". It matches the Rfam family "Bacterial large subunit ribosomal RNA". The record is from RNAcentral.